Molecule: ribosomal RNA, 253 nt
Filed under: uncultured bacterium
Lineage: Bacteria
Description: partial 16S ribosomal RNA
Rfam family: Bacterial small subunit ribosomal RNA
Source: RNAcentral
UACGGGGGGGGCAAGCGUUGUUCGGAAUUACUGGGCGUAAAGGGUUUGUAGGUGGCCGGCUAAGUCAGACGUGAAAUCCCUCAGCUUAACUGGGGAACUGCGUCUGGGACUGGUCGGCUUGAGGGCCGGAGAGGAACGCGGAAUUCCAGGUGUAGCGGUGAAAUGCGUAGAUAUCUGGAGGAACACCGGUGGCGAAGGCGGCGUUCUGGACGGCAUCUGACACUGAGACGCGAAGGCGUGGGGAGCGAACGGG